GAUGAACGCUGGCGGCGUGCCUAAUACAUGCAAGUUGAGCGAACGGACGAGAAGCUUGCUUCUCUGAUGUUAGCGGCGGACGGGUGAGUAACACGUGGAUAACCUACCUAUAAGACUGGGAUAACUUCGGGAAACCGGAGCUAAUACCGGAUAAUAUUUUGAACCGCAUGGUUCAAAAGUGAAAGACGGUCUUGCUGUCACUUAUAGAUGGAUCCGCGCUGCAUUAGCUAGUUGGUAAGGUAACGGCUUACCAAGGCAACGAUGCAUAGCCGACCUGAGAGGGUGAUCGGCCACACUGGAACUGAGACACGGUCCAGACUCCUACGGGAGGCAGCAGUAGGGAAUCUUCCGCAAUGGGCGAAAGCCUGACGGAGCAACGCCGCGUGAGUGAUGAAGGUCUUCGGAUCGUAAAACUCUGUUAUUAGGGAAGAACAUAUGUGUAAGUAAAUAUGCACAUCUUGACGGUACCUAAUCAGAAAGCCACGGCUAACUACGUG
This 497-nucleotide ribosomal RNA is filed under the name uncultured bacterium. Its description in RNAcentral is "partial 16S ribosomal RNA". It matches the Rfam family "Bacterial small subunit ribosomal RNA", at positions 28 to 507 of the family's 1533-position model. The record is from RNAcentral.